CGCGUAGGUGGUAGUGCAAGUCUGGGGUGGAAUCCCAGGGCUUAACCCUGGAACUGCCUUGGAAACUGUAUUACUUGAGUCAGUGAGGGGAGGGUAGAAUUCCUGGUGUAGCGGUGAAAUGCGUAGAUAUCAGGAGGAAGGCCUGUGGCGAAGGCGGCCCUCUGGCGCUGAACUGACACUGAGGCGCGAAAGCGUGGGUAGCAAACAGGAUUAGAUACCCUGGUAGUCCACGCCCUAAACGGUGGGUACUAGGUGUGGGGCUCGUAAGGGUUCUGUGCCGAAGCGAAAGCGUUAAGUACCCCGCCUGGGGAGUACGGCCGCAAGGUUGAA
This 330-nucleotide ribosomal RNA is filed under the name uncultured bacterium. RNAcentral describes it as "bacterial SSU rRNA". It matches the Rfam family "Bacterial small subunit ribosomal RNA", at positions 568 to 898 of the family's 1533-position model. The record is from RNAcentral.